Cricetulus griseus (Chinese hamster) is the source of this 73-nucleotide non-coding RNA. The record is from Rfam. Lineage: Eukaryota; Metazoa; Chordata; Mammalia; Rodentia; Cricetidae.
GUUUCUGUAGUGUAGUGGUUAUCAUGCUCGCCUAACACUCGAGAGGUCCCCGGUUCAAAACCGGGUGGAAACA